CCGGCGACCGGCGCACGGGUGAGUAACACGUAUGCAACCUGCCCUCUUCAGGGGGACAACCUUCCGAAAGGGAGGCUAAUCCCGCGUAUAUCGGUUUCGGGCAUCCGAGAUCGAGGAAAGAUUCAUCGGAGGAGGAUGGGCAUGCGGCGCAUUAGCUAGACGGCGGGGUAACGGCCCACCGUGGCGACGAUGCGUAGGGGUUCUGAGAGGAAGGUCCCCCACACUGGUACUGAGACACGGACCAGACUCCUACGGGAGGCAGCAG
Molecule: ribosomal RNA, 265 nt
Filed under: uncultured bacterium
Lineage: Bacteria
Description: partial 16S ribosomal RNA
Rfam family: Bacterial small subunit ribosomal RNA
Source: RNAcentral